This is a non-coding RNA of Nicotiana tabacum (common tobacco), 2100 nucleotides long. The record is from RefSeq and is a predicted model, not a curated record. NCBI's taxonomy places the organism in Eukaryota, Viridiplantae, Streptophyta, Magnoliopsida, Solanales, Solanaceae.
UUUUAUUAUAGAGUUAGAACCACCAGCGUUAUAGACUAUAGUUAACUCAAGGAAGGUAUCUAUAAUUGGCAUUUAAAAGAGACCAUUCACUAUCCCAGUCCAUAAAAAGAAAUCAGGAUGAAGAUUACAAGAAUGCAUCUAAGCGUUGUGCAGCUUUUGAUUGCUAUUAUGCUUUUUCUCAACAUUGAUGAAGUUGAGGGCUUUUCAAAGAAGGACCAUGAAGAAUUGGAGAGGCAACUAAAGCUUUUAAAUAAGCCAUCAGUCAAAACUAUUAAUGUAGAUUCUUAUUCUUUGUUUUGGUCCAAUCUCAAAAUAAUUGAUCCAUCUGUUUUAUUUUCAAUUAUAUAUGUCACUUUUCAUAGAGCUAAAAAAGAUGUUACACAUAAAUAUCUAUACUUAAAAUCAGUAACAAGCUCUAUUGUUUUGUAGACCGAAUAUGAAGAUAUUUAUGACUUUUUGAAUUUCUAUCUACAACCUGCAUUUGAUCAUCCUUUACUAAAGAAUUAUACUUAUCAUCCUCAGAUGAAACCGUCUUUCGCCCAGUUAAAGAGAGACAAAGAAUCCGCAACAUCCAAUAGAUCCUCCAAAAUCGGGCCGAGAGAUGGAGGUUGUCCAAUGGGAAUAGUUCCUAUUAGAAGAACUACCAAAGAAGAUCUCAAUAGAGAAAGAAGAUUUAAUUCUAUUUAUGCUGGUGGCAUCUUUCGCGUAAGCUGCUCCUUUAUAAAUUAUUUUUGUUUAUCCUAGUCUACUAAGAUGGGAAUUGAAAUAAUUAUAAACAACAAAUUAAACACCUUCCAAGUGGUAACUUCACUAUUGUCAUCACUUAUCAUCUUUACCGGAGCUCUUUCUAUGAUUAUGGAUUUGUGGUACAUAUGGACGUUAAUCUCAAUGCGGCUUGCCUUUAUAUUUGUUUCUAUACCUCAUUAAGAACUUGCAAUUUGUUUCAAAAAAGAAAUAUUUUUAUUAUCAACCAAUGUGAGCAUAUCUUGUUACUUAUUCUGCUUUGAACAUUUAAUUUCGGGAGCUGGAACAACAAGUAGUAUUUAUAAUCCAAAUGUUCUUCCGAACCAGUGGAGUGCAUCCGUCGUGAAGGUACAAAAUGGCCUUCACCAAAUACAAGUUGGGUGGCGUGUGGAUCCAAUUCUGUACGGUGAUACUCGUACUCGAUUUAUUUCAUUAUUUAAAGCACAACUCAAUGCUUCAACACGUUAUUUCUGACUUUCACACCUGAACAAAUAUUCGAUCAGGCAUUCUUCAUACAAAGGGUUAGAUAAAUACCAUACUGAAAUUUCAUCUCAUUUGAAAAGUAAUUAAGAGCAUAUAUAAUCAUUUUUCAUUACUACGUACAAUGUAUGAACAUACAUAAUCUUUUGUGUCUCUCUCUCUCUAUAUAUAUAUAUAUCCAACGCAUGAUCUGAUGAAUGGAAGAUGGUGGCUACGUGUUGGUCGUGAUUUCAAACAAAUAUGUUUAUGGCCUCCAGAGCUUUUCAUGGGAUUAAAGAGUUUUGUAUCACAGGCGUGGGGUGGAGAGGCAUUUAGUUCAGUCCCUACUUUCCCUCCAAUGGGUUCUGGUCAUUUUCCUGGACGUGUAAAUACUGAUAAAGAUGCAUAUUGUAGCAAAAUUUCAAUUCUGGAUUUUGCUGGCAAAACUCAGGAUUCCGGGGCUCUAGUAUCCGAGUUUGAAGAUGCUUACGCACUCUACCGGGUUCUUGAUGAACCAAUUACCAAAUAAGGCUUUUGGGCAUACGGUAUACAUACAUAUAUAUAUAUAUAUAUAGUGUGUGUGUGUUUGUGUGUGUGUGUGUGUGUGUGUGUGUGUAUGUAUGUAUGUGUGUGUGUGUGUAUAUAUAUAUCCAACGUGGAUCUGAAGAAUGGAAGAUGGUGGAUGCAUGUUGGUCGUGAUUUCAAAAAAAUAGGUUUCUGGCCUCCAAAGCUUUUCACGGAAUUAAAGGGUUUUACAUCACAGGUGGCAUGUGGUGGAGAGGCAUUUAGUUCAGUCCCUACUCUCCCUCUUAUGGGUUCUGGUCAUUUUCCUGGAUGUGUAAAUAUUGAUAAAGAUGCAUAUUGUAGCAAAAAUUUAAUUCUAGAUUUUGUUGGCAA